Molecule: transfer RNA, 72 nt
Filed under: Danionella translucida
Lineage: Eukaryota; Metazoa; Chordata; Actinopteri; Cypriniformes; Danionidae
Also listed under: 1 other name
Rfam family: tRNA
About the family: Transfer RNA (tRNA) molecules are approximately 80 nucleotides in length. Their secondary structure includes four short double-helical elements and three loops (D, anti-codon, and T loops).
Source: Rfam by way of RNAcentral
GGUUCUAUGGUGUAAUGGUUAGCACGCUGGACUCUGAAUCCAGCAAUCUGAGUUCAAAUCUUGGUAGGACAU